This 497-nucleotide ribosomal RNA is filed under the name uncultured bacterium. RNAcentral's name for it is "partial 16S ribosomal RNA". It matches the Rfam family "Bacterial small subunit ribosomal RNA", at positions 28 to 507 of the family's 1533-position model. The record is from RNAcentral.
GAUGAACGCUGGCGGCGUGCCUAAUACAUGCAAGUCGAGCGAACAGACGAGGAGCUUGCUCCUCUGACGUUAGCGGCGGACGGGUGAGUAACACGUGGAUAACCUACCUAUAAGACUUGGAUAACUUCGGGAAACCGGAGCUAAUACCGGAUAAUAUAUUGAACCGCAUGGUUCAAUAGUUAAAGACGGUUUUGCUGUCACUUAUAGAUGGAUCCGCGCCGCAUUAGCUAGUUGGUAAGGUAACGGCUUACCAAGGCAACGAUGCGUAGCCGACCUGAGAGGGUGAUCGGCCACACUGGAACUGAGACACGGUCCAGACUACUAAGGGAGGCAGCAGUAGGGAAUCUUACGCAAUGGGCGAAAGCAUGACGGAGCAACGCCGCGUGAGUGAUGAAGGUCUUCGGAUCGUAAAACUCUGUUAUUAGGGAAGAACAAAUGUGUAAGUAAAUAUGCACGUCUUGACGGUACCUAAUCAGAAAGCCACGGCUAACUACGUG